GCCUCUCUCCGCAGCCUGUAGAGGGUUUCCUUCUAGUGUCCUUACAUGGCCUGAAUGUGUGCCUGAGAGAGACCGGCAGAUAUUUUGACUCUCUCUCUCUCUUUUUGUAAUUGUUUAUAUAAGCAGUGAGAGUGUUGGUGGGGGAUAAGUAUGGGAAGCAUAGUAGGAUCCCCUAGGAGUUCAAAGCCACCCCUUUCCAGGACAUCAUUCUUCGGAGCAAGUCAGGCCUUAUAAACACAGACAACCCAGACCCACUCCUCAGAGCCCAUCCUUUGUUUGCU
Molecule: long non-coding RNA, 281 nt
Filed under: Mus pahari (shrew mouse)
Lineage: Eukaryota; Metazoa; Chordata; Mammalia; Rodentia; Muridae
Description: predicted gene 43179 (MGP_PahariEiJ_G0004479.1)
Source: RNAcentral